RNAcentral lists this ribosomal RNA (82 nucleotides) under Salmonella enterica subsp. enterica serovar Agona str. 241981. Its description in RNAcentral is "partial 23S ribosomal RNA". It matches the Rfam family "Bacterial large subunit ribosomal RNA", at positions 2846 to 2925 of the family's 2925-position model. The record is from RNAcentral. Lineage: Bacteria; Pseudomonadati; Pseudomonadota; Gammaproteobacteria; Enterobacterales; Enterobacteriaceae.
GACGACGUUGAUAGGCCGGGUGUGUAAGCGCAGCGAUGCGUUGAGCUAACCGGUACUAAUGAACCGUGAGGCUUAACCUUAC